Molecule: ribosomal RNA, 253 nt
Filed under: uncultured bacterium
Lineage: Bacteria
Also listed under: 2 other names
Description: partial 16S ribosomal RNA
Rfam family: Bacterial small subunit ribosomal RNA
Source: RNAcentral
UACGUAGGGUGCGAGCGUUAAUCGGAAUUACUGGGCGUAAAGAGUGCGUAGGCGGUCCCGCAAGUCCGCUGUGAAAGCCCCGGGCUUAACCUGGGAAUGGCAGUGGAAACUAUGGGACUUGAAUCUGGCAGAGGGGGGUGGAAUGCCACGUGUAGCAGUGAAAUGCGUAGAGAUGUGGCGGAACACCGAUGGCGAAGGCAGCCCCCUGGGCUGAGAUUGACGCUCAGGCACGAAAGCGUGGGGAGCAAACAGG